Molecule: unclassified non-coding RNA, 273 nt
Filed under: uncultured fungus
Lineage: Eukaryota; Fungi
Description: sequence contains ITS1
Source: RNAcentral
AAUCCAAGAAUUUCACCUCUGACAAUUAAAUACUAAUGCCCCCAACUGUCCCUAUUAAUCGUAAUCUAGAAUUAACCAAUAUUCCAGACACAUUCGUUAUUCCAUGCUAAUGUAUUCCUGCAACAGCCUGCUUGAAACACUCUAAUUUUCUCACAGUAACAGUCUAAGACUGGUAGACAAGCAAAGUACAAGUACCCACUUAUCUAGAAAUCCAACUACGAGCUUUUUAACUGCAACAACUUUAAUAUACGCUAUUGGAGCUGGAAUUACCGC